RNAcentral lists this long non-coding RNA (1167 nucleotides) under Oryza sativa (Asian cultivated rice). RNAcentral's name for it is "long non-coding RNA (OSAT_LNC000813)". Lineage: Eukaryota; Viridiplantae; Streptophyta; Magnoliopsida; Poales; Poaceae. The record is from RNAcentral.
ACGGUACGAGAUCUAGUUUUAUUGCGGAAUGUGGAUGGAGGAGAAAUUUGUUUCCUAUUCCAACCAAGCCCGAUCGUUCAGUAUCACCAACAAAAUCCUUCUACGUACUAGUACUAAUUACAACUCCAGACCAGUUUGAUUCAUCAACGGCCACCCUAUAUAACUUUUCUCCCAUUCAUAGCAAGCGUGGUAGUAUAUAAUUUCGCCACGUAACUUUCCUGCUUUUCCGGAGGCGGUCGACGAGAGGAUCGGAGGAGCAAUGGAGGGUACACUACUAGAAAAAGCAUUUUUCAUGUGGACAAAACUAAUUUUCGCAUAUGAAAGAGAGGUCCACCUAUACCACAACGACUGCGAAAAUCAUCCAUCUUCGUACUCGGGGCAACGGCCUGCCUGCGAAAAUAGAAGAAAUGAACAAAAAAAAAAAAACGCCGGCCCGCACCGGGAGCCGCCGGCGGCCUCCCCCCUCCCUCCUCUGGCAAGAUCUGGGAGGGAGGGGGAAGGGGAGCCGCCGCCGCCACCUAGCCCGCGCUGCCGCCGCUCCACGCCGUCGGCGCCGCCGCCGGCCUCCUCCCUCCCUCCUCCGGUCAGAUCUGGGAGGGAGCGGGGGAGGGGAGCCGCCGUUGCCGCCCGGCCCGCGCCGUCGUCGCCGCCGCCCGACCCGCGCCAUCGUCGUCGCCGCCGCCGCCUAGUCCGCGCCGUCGCCGCUCCACGCCGUCGGCGCCACUGCCGGCCUCCUCCCUCCCUCCUCCGGUCAGAUCUGGGAGGGAGCGGGGGAGGGGAGCCGCCGCCGCCGCCCGGCCCGCGCCAUCGUCGCCGCCGCCGGCCUCCCCCUCCCUCCUCCGGUCAGAUCUGGGAGGGAGGGGGGAGGGGAGCCGCCGCCGCCUAGCCCGCGCCACCGCCGGCCUCCUCGGCGGCGCCGCCUCGCCUCCCUCCUCCGUCGCCCUCCUCGGCGGCGCCGCCUCGCCUCCUCGCCGCUGCUGCCCUUCGCCGCCACCGCCCACCGCCGCCGCCAGGGAGAGUAGAAGUGAGGGGAGGGGAGAGGAGGAGAGGGGAGGGGAGGGGCCGGUGGUGUGGAGAGGUGAGGAGAGGUGUGGAGGGGAGGACUGAGGACUUAGAAAAAAUUACCGCCCGCGUGUAUUUAUAUUAAGUCUAUUUUCACAGGCAGAC